AAAAACAUGUCUCUUUGUGGUUAAUAAAUAAAGAGUUGGGCCUGCUCAGUGAUAAUAAUUUAACAGCUGCGGUAUUUUAACUGUACUAAGGUAGCAUAAUAAUUUGCCUUAUAAAUUGAGGCUAGAAUGAAUGGUUUAACGAAGGUUUAUCUGUCUCUAUUUUAUUUAGUAGAAGUUAAUUUUUUAGUGAGAAAGCUAAAAUAUUUUAAAGGGACGAGAAGACCCUAAUGAGCUUAAAUUUAAUAAUAUUAUAAAUUAUAGUAUUUAAUAAAUUUUAAUUGGGGUGAUUAAGGAAUAAAAAGCAUAUUAAAUAAUAACUUCCUUAAUUAUAUAAUACUGUUAGGUUAAGUAACCAAUAAUAUUGCUUAUAAUAAAGUUACCAUAGGGAUAACAGCGUAAUUUAUUUAGAGAGUUCUUAUUGAAAAAUAAGAUUGCGACCUCGAUGUUGGAUUAAAGUAACCUUAAGGUGUAGAAGCUUUAUAUGGUAAAUCUGUUCGAUUUU
RNAcentral lists this ribosomal RNA (502 nucleotides) under Acanthosepion pharaonis. RNAcentral describes it as "Sepia pharaonis partial 16S ribosomal RNA". It matches the Rfam family "Bacterial large subunit ribosomal RNA", at positions 1809 to 2588 of the family's 2925-position model. The record is from RNAcentral. Lineage: Eukaryota; Metazoa; Mollusca; Cephalopoda; Sepiida; Sepiidae.